Molecule: ribosomal RNA, 429 nt
Filed under: uncultured Gammaproteobacteria bacterium
Lineage: Bacteria; Pseudomonadati; Pseudomonadota; Gammaproteobacteria
Description: bacterial SSU rRNA
Rfam family: Bacterial small subunit ribosomal RNA
Source: RNAcentral
UGGGGAAUAUUGGACAAUGGGGGCAACCCUGAUCCAGCAAUGCCGCGUGGGUGAAGAAGGCCUUCGGGUUGUAAAGCCCUUUCGGCUGGGAAGAAAAGCUUACGGUUAAUAACUGUGAGUCUUGACGUUACCAGAAGAAGAAGCACCGGCUAACUCUGUGCCAGCAGCCGCGGUAAUACAGAGGGUGCGAGCGUUAAUCGGAAUUACUGGGCGUAAAGCGCAUGUAGGUGGUUUGAUAAGUCGGAUGUGAAAGCCCCGGGCUCAACCUGGGAAUUGCACUCGAUACUGUCAAGCUAGAGUAUUGUAGAGGGAAGCGGAAUUUCAGGUGUAGCGGUGAAAUGCGUAGAUAUCUGAAGGAACAUCAGUGGCGAAGGCGGCUUCCUGGACAAAUACUGACACUGAGGUGCGAAAGCGUGGGUAGCAAACAGG